RNAcentral lists this ribosomal RNA (468 nucleotides) under uncultured bacterium. RNAcentral describes it as "partial 16S ribosomal RNA". It matches the Rfam family "Bacterial small subunit ribosomal RNA", at positions 28 to 507 of the family's 1533-position model. The record is from RNAcentral.
GAUGAACGCUGGCGGCGUGCUUAACACAUGCAAGUCGAACGGAAAGGCCCUGCUUUUGUGGGGUGCUCGAGUGGCGAACGGGUGAGUAACACGUGAGUAACCUGCACUUGACUUUGGGAUAUCUUCAGGAAACUGGGGCUAAUACCGGAUAGGAGCUCCUGCUGCAUGGUGGGGGUUGGAAAGUUUCGGCUGUUGGGGAUGGACUCGCGGCUUAUCAGCUUGUUGGUGGAGUUGUGGCUUACCAAGGCUUUGACGGGUAGCCGGCCUGAGAGGGUGACCGGCCACAAUGGUACUGAGAUACGGCCCAGACUCCUACGGGAGGCAGCAGUGGGGAAUAUUGCACAAUGGGCGGAAGCCUGAUGCAGCAACGCCGCGUGCGUGAUGACGUCCUUCGGGUUGUAAACCGCUUUCGCCUGUGACGAAGCGUGAGUGACGGUAAUUGGUAAAGAAGCACCGGCUAACUACGUG